GUACUGUGCGAACGUUAUUCGGAAUCACUGGGCUUAAAGGGUGCGUAGGCGGUUCGGUUAGUAGGGUGUGAAAUUUCUCGGGCUCAACCGAGAAACUGCGCUCUAAACUGCCGGACUUGAGUGAGAUAGGGGUGUGUGGAACUUCCAGUGGAGCGGUGAAAUGUGUUGAUAUUGGAAGGAACGCCGGUGGCGAAAGCGGCACACUGGGUCUCAACUGACGCUGAGGCACGAAAGCCAGGGUAGCGAACGGGAUUAGAUACCCCGGUAGUCCUGGCUGUAAACGAUGAGCACUAGAGGGGAGGGGCCUUGCGCCCAUCCGCUCGCAGCGAAAGCAUUAAGUGCUCCGCCUGGGGAGUAUGGUCGCAAGGCUG
This 371-nucleotide ribosomal RNA is filed under the name uncultured organism. Its description in RNAcentral is "partial 16S ribosomal RNA". It matches the Rfam family "Bacterial small subunit ribosomal RNA", at positions 527 to 896 of the family's 1533-position model. The record is from RNAcentral.